RNAcentral lists this unclassified non-coding RNA (373 nucleotides) under soil metagenome. Its description in RNAcentral is "partial contains 5.8S ribosomal RNA, internal transcribed spacer 2, and large subunit ribosomal RNA". The stretch from base 1 to 121 matches the Rfam family "5.8S ribosomal RNA", at positions 35 to 154 of the family's 154-position model. The record is from RNAcentral.
GAUGAAGAACGCAGCGAAAUGCGAUAAGUAAUGCGAAUUGCAGAAUUCCAGUGAGUCAUCGAAUCUUUGAACGCACAUUGCGCCCUUUGGUAUUCCGAAGGGCAUGCCUGUUCGAGCGUCAUUAUCACCCCUCAAGCCCUCGGCUUGGUGUUGGACGGUUUGGUGGAGGCCCCCUCGGGGGCUCCUGCCCCUCCCAAAGACAAUGACGGCGGCCUCGUUGGACCCCCGGUACACUGAGUUCUUCACGGGGCACGUAUCGGACACAUGGGUUUACGGGACACGGUCUGCCUCCCCUCAGGGAGAAUCUUUCUAAGGUUGACCUCGGAUCAGGUAGGGAUACCCGCUGAACUUAAGCAUAUCAAUAAGCGGAGGA